AUGAGAGUAACCUAUUUUAGUGAACAACAACAAUUGCUUCAGAGGAGCAAAUUUUUAAGAUAGCUGAUGCUAUAUAGUCAUAUGUGUAGACCUCAAUAUAUAUAGAAUAACACUUUGAAGAUAAUCACCGGAUGCGGUGUAGAUCUUGCAGUAAUAGAAAAGCCCAGGGACUUAUAUGUAAAUAAAUACGUCCACUGGGAUUCAAGUGCAAGAUGGCCGAGAGGAUAAGAAUCCCCAAUUUCUCUUGUGCGGUCAGGGAUUAACCGCUGCUGCCGGAGAAGUAUGCCUCAGGUGAGGGAGAGUCGCCGGGGAGCGUCGCCGCGGUUGGAUGGACGCCGCCCUUUCGCCUUGUGACGGAGGAAGCCCCGGAUGAGGGCGCGUUGCGCCAUGCGCGUGCGCCUGAGGGCGCUGCCGUCGCGUUGCCGCAGUGCCUCUUCCAGCCCCAGCCAGUCAUCCGUGUCGCCGUGUGCGCUCUAGCCAUUGCAUCCCGUGGAUGAGCAGCCGAGAGCCCGAGACGCAUGGACGCGGGAGCCGCUAGCGAUGUUGCAGAUCGCUUGAUCCAGUGCAAGAAAAACUGAACUUUUCUUCCUUGGUCAAGGAUCUCUUCCCGUUGAUGCUUCAGCCAUCUAUUCAUCUCACCAUGUCCACAUACUAUGUGCAGAAAAGCAGUUAAUCUUCAGAUCAUGGGAAGAACAAAAAUUAAACGGAAUUAGUGUUUCCUGAUUGAUUUCCCGAUGCUCGUUCAGGCAGUCGCUGUGCUGAUGCCGUUUAAGGCGUUCGUGCUUGACUCGUUGGCUGCCGCCGCCGACGACUGGAAGGGUCCCGCUGAUGGUGUCUGCGCCACCGGGAGGAGCAAGGCCGCAUCACCCCGCGCCGGAGGACCCCCCAUGCGCCAGAGGGCGCCUCGUGUGGUGCUUAUGUGCGGGUGACCACGCCGCCGGACAAGGGCUGCGGUGUCGCGCGCCCGCUGGUGGCCACCGCGCUGCAGGGCUAGAACAGAGGCAUCUCCUAUGCUUUUGUGGCCUUCUCGCUCUCGGUAGAGCCGAGUGCUGAUAACGUGUUGAAUGUAAAAGUGAUUGAAUGAAGGAAAGGCUACUGAUUUCAUUGAUUC
Long non-coding RNA from Triticum aestivum (bread wheat), 1111 nucleotides. RefSeq lists it as uncharacterized. NCBI's taxonomy places the organism in Eukaryota, Viridiplantae, Streptophyta, Magnoliopsida, Poales, Poaceae. The transcript has 2 exons. The record is from RefSeq and is a predicted model, not a curated record.